RNAcentral lists this transfer RNA (77 nucleotides) under Candidatus Falkowiibacteriota bacterium. Its description in RNAcentral is "Candidatus Falkowbacteria bacterium tRNA-Arg". It matches the Rfam family "tRNA". Rfam says of the family: Transfer RNA (tRNA) molecules are approximately 80 nucleotides in length. Their secondary structure includes four short double-helical elements and three loops (D, anti-codon, and T loops). The record is from RNAcentral. Lineage: Bacteria; Candidatus Falkowiibacteriota.
GCGCUCGUAGCUCAACUGGAUAGAGUACUUGGCUUCGGACCAAGGGGUUGCAGGUUCGAAUCCUGCCGGGCGCACCA